UACGGAGGAUGCAAGCGUUAUCCGGAAUGAUUGGGCGUAAAGCGUCCGCAGGUGGCUAUGUAAGUCUGCUGUUAAAGAGUGAGGCUCAACCUCAUAAGAGCAGUGGAAACUACAUGGCUAGAGUGCGUUCGGGGCAGAGGGAAUUCCUGGUGUAGCGGUGAAAUGCGUAGAUAUCAGGAAGAACACCCGUGGCUAAGGCGGCUCUCUAGUACGGUACUGACGCUGAGACGCGAAAGCGUGGGGAGCGAACAGG
RNAcentral lists this ribosomal RNA (253 nucleotides) under uncultured bacterium. Its description in RNAcentral is "partial 16S ribosomal RNA". It matches the Rfam family "Bacterial small subunit ribosomal RNA", at positions 524 to 776 of the family's 1533-position model. The record is from RNAcentral.